CGCGGCCUAUCAGCUUGUUGGUGGGGUAGUGGCCUACCAAGGCGACGACGGGUAGCCGGCCUGAGAGGGUGACCGGCCACACUGGGACUGAGACACGGCCCAGACUCCUACGGGAGGCAGCAGUGGGGAAUAUUGCGCAAUGGGCGAAAGCCUGACGCAGCGACGCCGCGUGGGGGAUGACGGCCUUCGGGUUGUAAACCUCUUUCAGCAGGGACGAAGCGAAAGUGACGGUACCUGCAGAAGAAGCACCGGCCAACUACGUGCCAGCAGCCGCGGUAAUACGUAGGGUGCAAGCGUUGUCCGGAAUUAUUGGGCGUAAAGAGCUCGUAGGCGGUUUGUUGCGUCGGCUGUGAAAUCCCGAGGCUCAACCUCGGGUCUGCAGUCGAUACGAGCAAACUAGAGUGUUGCAGGGGAGACUGGAAUUCCUGGUGUAGCGGUGAAAUGCGCAGAUAUCAGGAGGAACUCCGGUGGCGAAGGCGGGUCUCUGGGCAACAACUGACGCUGAGGAGCGAAAGCGUGGGGAGCGAACAGGAUUAGAUACCCUGGUAGUCCACGCCGUAAACGUUGGGCGCUAGGUGUGGGGCUCAUUCCACGAGUUCCGUGCCGCAGCUAACGCAUUAAGCGCCCCGCCUGGGGAGUACGG
RNAcentral lists this ribosomal RNA (643 nucleotides) under uncultured bacterium. RNAcentral describes it as "bacterial SSU rRNA". It matches the Rfam family "Bacterial small subunit ribosomal RNA", at positions 232 to 885 of the family's 1533-position model. The record is from RNAcentral.